CUUAUGCAAAACAAUAAUGCUGCCUAGUCAAAAAGGGAACACUUCACCAGCUUGCUAUUUGAAAGACAAGGAAAGGACUGUUAAAAAGAAAAGUCUGCUUCAAUCCAAAGAGCCCUGGAAGAACUAGUUGAAGACACCCUUUGGACAAGUCCAAGUGGUUAUGCCAUGCCAAAGAGCCGAGUCCUUCAGCACUGAGCCAACUUGAAGUGGCCUAGGAGCUUGAUUCAAGUUCACUAUGAGGCAACCCUAUUCCCUGAAACACAAUAAUAUGGCCUAUUAACCCUACAAUGUCCUCUAAAUUUCAAGUGAAAGGAAGAAAGUCAAUCCAUGCAGCAAACUUCAUUGCUGGCUUAUUUUAAGAAACUGCCAUAGUCAUCCCAGCAUUCAACAACCACCACCUUGAUCAAUCAACAGCCAUCAAUAUGGAGGCAAGACCAUCCGCCAGCAAAAAGAUUAUGACCUGCUGAAGGCUCAGAUGAGGGUUAGCAUUUUGUAGCAAUAAAUCAUUUUAAACUAA
Molecule: non-coding RNA, 517 nt
Organism: Phascolarctos cinereus (koala)
Lineage: Eukaryota; Metazoa; Chordata; Mammalia; Diprotodontia; Phascolarctidae
Source: RefSeq, a predicted model, not a curated record